Molecule: ribosomal RNA, 241 nt
Filed under: uncultured Staphylococcus sp.
Lineage: Bacteria; Bacillati; Bacillota; Bacilli; Caryophanales; Staphylococcaceae
Description: partial 16S ribosomal RNA
Rfam family: Bacterial small subunit ribosomal RNA
Source: RNAcentral
CGGACGGGUGAGUAACACGUGGAUAACCUACCUAUAAGACUGGGAUAACUUCGGGAAACCGGAGCUAAUACCGGAUAAUAUAUUGAACCGCAUGGUUCAAUAGUGAAAGACGGUUUUGCUGUCACUUAUAGAUGGAUCCGCGCCGCAUUAGCUAGUUGGUAAGGUAACGGCUUACCAAGGCAACGAUGCGUAGCCGACAUGAGAGGGUGAUCGGCCACACUGGAACUGAGACACGGUCCAG